RNAcentral lists this ribosomal RNA (843 nucleotides) under uncultured bacterium. RNAcentral describes it as "bacterial SSU rRNA". It matches the Rfam family "Bacterial small subunit ribosomal RNA", at positions 8 to 838 of the family's 1533-position model. The record is from RNAcentral.
AGAGUUUGAUCCUGGCUCAGGACGAACGCUGGCGGCGCGCUUAACACAUGCAAGUCGAACGAGAACCAGUCCUUCGGGGCUGGGGAAAGUGGCGAACGGGUGAGUAACACGUGGGUAAUCUGCCCUCGGCACCGGAAUAGCCCGGGGAAACUCGGAUUAAUGCCGGAUAGCCUCUCGAGCCCUCGGGUUCGUGAGAAAAGGUAGCUUCGGCCUCUGGCCGAGGAGGAGCCCGCGGCGGAUUAGCUUGUUGGUGAGGUAACGGCUCACCAAGGCGACGAUCCGUAGCUGGUCUGAGAGGACGAUCAGCCACACUGGGACUGAGACACGGCCCAGACUCCUACGGGAGGCAGCAGUGGGGAAUCUUGCGCAAUGGGCGAAAGCCUGACGCAGCGACGCCGCGUGCGGGAAGAAGGCCUUCGGGUUGUAAACCGCUUUCAGGAGGGACGAAGCCACUCGGGUUAAUAGCCCAGAGGGUGACGGUACCUCCAGAAGAAGCCCCGGCUAACUACGUGCCAGCAGCCGCGGUAAUACGUAGGGGGCAAGCGUUGUCCGGAUUUAUUGGGCGUAAAGAGCGUGUAGGCGGCCAGGUAGGUCUGCUGUGAAAACUCGAGGCUCAACCUCGAGACGUCGGCAGAAACCCUCUGGCUAGAGUCCGGAAGAGGAGAGUGGAAUUCCUGGUGUAGCGGUGAAAUGCGCAGAUAUCAGGAAGAACACCCGUGGCGAAGGCGGCUCUCUGGGACGGUACUGACGCUGAGACGCGAAAGCGUGGGGAGCGAACAGGAUUAGAUACCCUGGUAGUCCACGCCGUAAACGAUGGGUGCUAGGUGUGGGAGGUGUCGACUC